This 1528-nucleotide ribosomal RNA is filed under the name Klebsiella pneumoniae. RNAcentral's name for it is "bacterial SSU rRNA". It matches the Rfam family "Bacterial small subunit ribosomal RNA". The record is from RNAcentral. Lineage: Bacteria; Pseudomonadati; Pseudomonadota; Gammaproteobacteria; Enterobacterales; Enterobacteriaceae.
AGAGUUUGAUCAUGGCUCAGAUUGAACGCUGGCGGCAGGCCUAACACAUGCAAGUCGAGCGGUAGCACAGAGAGCUUGCUCUCGGGUGACGAGCGGCGGACGGGUGAGUAAUGUCUGGGAAACUGCCUGAUGGAGGGGGAUAACUACUGGAAACGGUAGCUAAUACCGCAUAACGUCGCAAGACCAAAGUGGGGGACCUUCGGGCCUCAUGCCAUCAGAUGUGCCCAGAUGGGAUUAGCUAGUAGGUGGGGUAACGGCUCACCUAGGCGACGAUCCCUAGCUGGUCUGAGAGGAUGACCAGCCACACUGGAACUGAGACACGGUCCAGACUCCUACGGGAGGCAGCAGUGGGGAAUAUUGCACAAUGGGCGCAAGCCUGAUGCAGCCAUGCCGCGUGUGUGAAGAAGGCCUUCGGGUUGUAAAGCACUUUCAGCGGGGAGGAAGGCGUUAAGGUUAAUAACCUCACCGAUUGACGUUACCCGCAGAAGAAGCACCGGCUAACUCCGUGCCAGCAGCCGCGGUAAUACGGAGGGUGCAAGCGUUAAUCGGAAUUACUGGGCGUAAAGCGCACGCAGGCGGUCUGUCAAGUCGGAUGUGAAAUCCCCGGGCUCAACCUGGGAACUGCAUUCGAAACUGGCAGGCUAGAGUCUUGUAGAGGGGGGUAGAAUUCCAGGUGUAGCGGUGAAAUGCGUAGAGAUCUGGAGGAAUACCGGUGGCGAAGGCGGCCCCCUGGACAAAGACUGACGCUCAGGUGCGAAAGCGUGGGGAGCAAACAGGAUUAGAUACCCUGGUAGUCCACGCCGUAAACGAUGUCGAUUUGGAGGUUGUGCCCUUGAGGCGUGGCUUCCGGAGCUAACGCGUUAAAUCGACCGCCUGGGGAGUACGGCCGCAAGGUUAAAACUCAAAUGAAUUGACGGGGGCCCGCACAAGCGGUGGAGCAUGUGGUUUAAUUCGAUGCAACGCGAAGAACCUUACCUGGUCUUGACAUCCACAGAACUUUCCAGAGAUGGAUUGGUGCCUUCGGGAACUGUGAGACAGGUGCUGCAUGGCUGUCGUCAGCUCGUGUUGUGAAAUGUUGGGUUAAGUCCCGCAACGAGCGCAACCCUUAUCCUUUGUUGCCAGCGGUCCGGCCGGGAACUCAAAGGAGACUGCCAGUGAUAAACUGGAGGAAGGUGGGGAUGACGUCAAGUCAUCAUGGCCCUUACGACCAGGGCUACACACGUGCUACAAUGGCAUAUACAAAGAGAAGCGACCUCGCGAGAGCAAGCGGACCUCAUAAAGUAUGUCGUAGUCCGGAUUGGAGUCUGCAACUCGACUCCAUGAAGUCGGAAUCGCUAGUAAUCGUAGAUCAGAAUGCUACGGUGAAUACGUUCCCGGGCCUUGUACACACCGCCCGUCACACCAUGGGAGUGGGUUGCAAAAGAAGUAGGUAGCUUAACCUUCGGGAGGGCGCUUACCACUUUGUGAUUCAUGACUGGGGUGAAGUCGUAACAAGGUAACCGUAGGGGAACCUGCGGUUGGAUACCUC